Molecule: ribosomal RNA, 196 nt
Filed under: uncultured bacterium
Lineage: Bacteria
Description: partial 16S ribosomal RNA
Rfam family: Bacterial small subunit ribosomal RNA
Source: RNAcentral
ACUCCUACGGGAGGCAGCAGUGGGGAAUUUUGGACAAUGGGCGGAAGCCUGAUCCAGCAAUACCGCGUGUGUGAAGAAGGCCUGAGGGUUGUAAAGCACUUUCAAUAGGGAGGAAAAAGCUUAGGCUAAUAUCCUGAGUAUUGACAUUACCUAUAGAAGAAGCACCGGCUAACUCCGUGCCAGCAGCCGCGGUAAU